Molecule: unclassified non-coding RNA, 353 nt
Filed under: soil metagenome
Description: partial contains 5.8S ribosomal RNA, internal transcribed spacer 2, and large subunit ribosomal RNA
Rfam family: 5.8S ribosomal RNA (bases 1-120)
Source: RNAcentral
GAUGAAGAACGCAGCGAAAUGCGAUAAGUAGUGUGAAUUGCAGAAUUCAGUGAAUCAUCGAAUCUUUGAACGCACAUUGCGCCUCCUGGCAUUCCGGGAGGCAUGCCUGUUCGAGCGUCAUUAAAAUCACUCAAGCUUAGGUUUGCCUAUUGCUUGGUCUUGAAGAUGGAAGCUAAGUAAUUAGAAUCCUCUUCGAAAUCCAAUGGCGAAGACCCUUGCUCUCCCAAGUGUAGUAAUAACUUAUUCACUGAAGGAAGCGAGUAAUCUUCUGUCGUAACCCCCAUAUUUUCUAUGAUUGACCUCGGAUCAGGUAGGGAUACCCGCUGAACUUAAGCAUAUCAAUAAGCGGAGGA